RNAcentral lists this ribosomal RNA (450 nucleotides) under uncultured bacterium. RNAcentral's name for it is "partial 16S ribosomal RNA". It matches the Rfam family "Bacterial small subunit ribosomal RNA", at positions 354 to 796 of the family's 1533-position model. The record is from RNAcentral.
GUGGGGAAUAUUGGACAAUGGGCGAAAGCCUGAUCCAGCCAUGCCGCGUGUGUGAAGAAGGUCUUCGGAUUGUAAAGCACUUUAAGUUGGGAGGAAGGGCAGUAAGUUAAUACCUUGCUGUUUUGACGUUACCAACAGAAUAAGCACCGGCUAACUUCGUGCCAGCAGCCGCGGUAAUACGAAGGGUGCAAGCGUUAAUCGGAAUUACUGGGCGUAAAGCGCGCGUAGGUGGUUCAGCAAGUUGGAGGUGAAAUCCCCGGGCUCAACCUGGGAACUGCCUCAAAAACUACUGAGCUAGAGUACGGUAGAGGGUAGUGGAAUUUCUGGUGUAGCAGUGAAAUGCGUAGAUAUAGGAAGGAACACCAGUGGCGAAGGCGACUACCUGGACUGAUACUGACACUGAGGUGCGAAAGCGUGGGGAGCAAACAGGAUUAGAUACCCGUGUAGUCC